This is a long non-coding RNA of Gavialis gangeticus (Gharial), 107 nucleotides long. RefSeq lists it as uncharacterized. Lineage: Eukaryota; Metazoa; Chordata; Crocodylia; Gavialidae. The transcript has 3 exons. The record is from RefSeq and is a predicted model, not a curated record.
UCUGCCUAUACAGCAUUAGCUAGCAGACCACAUGCUGGCUAUGGACCAUGCUGUGGGAUAGAGGAGGAAGAGAUCUCUGCUUAAGCAUUGAAUGGGGGGUUUGGGGG